CGGCCCUUGAAAUGCAGGGGGAGCAGACCUGCGUGCCGAUGGGUUAAUUCUCCGGGCACAGUGGCAGGUGUGGAUGGGAUGGUGCUGAACGGUCUGGUCUGUGACGCUGCCUCUUGAUUGGGUGUGUGUUUUGGGGGGAUAUGUUGAAAGACAGAUCUACAGCCGCUCUGCAACCCCCAUCCAUCUCUUGAGAUGGGGGCGGGCAGCGUGCUGAAUGACGACACCCCCAGGUGACCCUCAGGUGCCUCCCCCUCCAACCCCCAGAGGCCUGAAACCAGGACCCGAGAACAAGUGUGUGGUGAGCAAACAUGAGCCCUGGGCCGGGUUCCCCAAGACUGGGCUCAGGAAGGACUAUGUCUGGCAGCGACGGAGAAGAAAAACCCAACUCAGCCAGACUUCCUGGCUUCUGAUCUGAGGGAGCUUGCUCUUUGCACCCUUGCACGGGGCACUCACCCUGAGAAAAUGCCCGUCUCCACCCAAGUCAGAGGAUGUUCCCCGCAGCAGGUGUGUAAAAGCAAGACCUGGGAAAUGGCCCAGAGGCCUGGCCGUGCCGGACGGGAACAAAAGCCGCCGUCAGGUGGCCCCCUGGGGGACAGGGGCUGAGUUCUGGACGUAUGGGUUGCACGGAGGUGGGGAGAACGGUCCACAACAGCAGUUUGCAGUUGUCUUUGCAUGUAGAGGCUUAAAAACAACCUGGGGCGGGAGUUCCCGUUCGUGGCGAAGCGGAAACAAAUCAGACUAGGAACCAUGAGGUUGAGGGUUCGAUCCCCGGCCCCGCUCAGUGGGUUAAGGAUCCGGUGUUGCUGCGGCUGUGGUGUAGGCCAGCAGCUGCAGUUCUGAUAAGAUCCCGAGCUUGGGAACUUCCAUAUACCUUGGUGUGGCCCUAAAAAAGAAAAACAAACAACCCCCCCCCAAAACCAAAAACCAAACAACAACCUGGAACGAUUUGAAAAUGAUGCUGAAUUUACCCACUAAGGGCCCCACGACCUUUAAAGUGACAUAUUUCACAAAGAGACGCCAGUUCCACUCAGUGAAACCACAGAAUAUCUGCCAGGUGGUAACAGUACCUAAAUUGUGGCCGGUCCUGGGUUCAGGCCUAUGGGGAGCACCGGGUGGGGGGACACCGCUCUGGCUUUGGGUUCUACAGAACUGGGUGGUUCACACCAAAAGCUUUUUCUUUACACCCUGACCCCCAGCUUGUCUUUGUCCCCCAUCUUCUGCCUUUUGUUCUGGGGAGUUUUUUCUCUGGGAAGCGAGUGGGGAGGGCAGAAGGCCCCCGGGGCACAGCGGGAGGUUGAUAAGGAGAGGUAUGCACCCCCCCCAGCCCCACGGGUAGGAGCGGGUCUUCCAGGGUUUGAAGAUCUGGGCCCAGCAGCAGCCGCCUCUUCCCAGAUGCAGUGGGAGGAAGCGGGCAGUCACCUGAACUGCCCUGGGCAGGGCCAGAUCUGGUCCCCAUGUGGCGAUUUGGGGUGACUGCUCCGUGGGCAGGUGCGGGGUGGCCGGUGGUGGUGGCAUGAGGACCCCUGGGAGCCUCUCUGGGCUCAGAGCAGAGGCGCUUGCCCUGGGGGACUGAGAGGCAGCAGUGCCCGCUGGACCCUAGCGGUCAGCUUUGAACGGGGCUCGUGGGGCGGACUGGCAUCCUUGGGCCUCGAUUCUGUCUCCCGGGCAGGGGGGCUGGUCAGAGUCAGAUGAGUCCCCUCUUGGGCCACAGAGGCUCCCAGGAGAGAGGGGCUUUCGCAGGAGGUUCUGGGGGCCCCCCUGCCCCUAGCCCACAGACUGUGGGAGGUCCUUUUAAAUGAACCUAAGGCAGCAAGAUACGGGCCUAAAGCUGAAGCUCCAAGGUCCUGGAAAGUGAGCGAGAUUGGCUCAGGGUUCCAGAAGCUGCAUUUGCCCGCAUGUCUGAGGCCUCACCGAAUCCAAGCAUCCAGGCUACUCGGCCUCACCCCAGAGCCUGCAAGCCCCCCGGUCCCCCGGCCUCGCGACCACGUGCCCUCCGUUCCGCCUCCGUUCCCCCUCGCUCUGGACGGUCUUGCUGGCUGUCGAGGCUGUGUUCCGCCGCCUUCAGCCGGGGUCUCCGAGCUCGGGGUCCUUCCCCGGAGGCGGCAGUUUCAGAGGAAAUACACACGCAGUCUGUGGCUGAGACUCUAGAGUGGAAAAGAAAUUUCCAAGGCCAGCAGGGUCUUAGAGACGUGAUUCUGCUGGCGGCAACCAAGGAACUCAAGUCGUUUUCAAGAAGCGCCCCCAGAAACAGCUCCUUGCCUACAGGAGUCGGGAGAGGCUCAGGAGGGGGGGGGUUCCUCUCUCUCCUCUCCGGGGGGCUGACUCGGGGAGGGUGGGGGGGUGCCUGGGACCCCCACCCCCCACCCCCAUAGUGUUGUCCCUCGCCUGCAGCUUCUGGUUUCCUGUCUCUUCCCAGUUCCUGGCCCAGCUGAUGGUUUUUCUCAUCAGUUUCGUGAGCUCCGUGUUCUGUGGGCACCUGGGGAAGCUGGAAUUGGACGCGGUCACGCUGGCGAUUGCGGUGAUCAACGUUACGGGUGUCUCCGUGGGGUUUGGCUUGUCCUCUGCUUGUGACACCCUCAUCUCCCAGGUAAAUGGAAGCCCCGGGUCCCCUUGCUGUGACCUCUGGAGCUGGAGGAACCCCCAGGGGGGCAGAGGGCGGGGCCCCCCAGGCAAACCCUGCCGCAUUCCAGCUCUCCGCUGUCCCUUUGAAGUGUGGCUGCAGAGGCUUUAUCUGCACUGCUGCCUUAAGCCACAUUUUCACAAGGGGACGUUUUGAAAAAGUCGCUUUUAUCGCUUUCCGCCUCUGAGCUUGGUACCCUCCAGGGGUCCACAGUCGUGAAGCGGGGGAACGUGGAAUCACCAGGUCUGGGCGGGGGAGGGCGAGGUCUCCCGCUACAGCUCCUUUCAAGCUCCCGAAGAGGUCACUGAGCAGGGAGCUGGGGAGAGAUGGGCACCGUGGGCUCACAAGCAGUGGGCACUGGCCCCGGCCCCCCACGGGCUGUUCCCCACGGCUCUGCAUAGUAGGUCUGGGGUGGGGCCCAAGACGCGACUUUUCUAAUAGGGGUCCAGGGGCUGCAACCUGUCUGCACGUUAGGAUCACAUGGACACUGGAAGCUCUUACCAAUUAUUGGUACCUGGAAUCCAGACUUACCUUUACUGAGCUCCCGGCAUCAGUGAUUUUAAAAUGUUCCCCCCAUGCAACAACCAUUUAUGAUGAUAACGCUCCAGAAGACGGACACAGAAGGAGCCUACCUCGACACAAUAAAAGCCAUGUAUGGCACACCCACGGCUAACAUCACACUCGGUGGUGAAAACCAGAAAGCAUUUCCUCUACGAUCAGGAAUCAGGCAGGGAUGUCUACUCUCGCCAGUCUUCUUCAACAUAGUCUUGAGUUUUAGCCACAGCAAUCAGACAAGAAAAAGAAAUAAAAGGAAUCCGAAUUGGGAAGGAAGAAGUGAAAUUGUUACGCUUUGCAAACAACAUGAACUAUACAUAGAAAAUCCUGGAGUUCCCAUCAUGGCUCAGUGGUUAACGAAUCUGACUAGGAACCAUGAAGUUUCGGGUUUGAUCCCCAGCCUUGCUCAGUGGGUUAAAGGUCCGGUGUUGCCGUGAGCUGUGGUGUAGGUCGCAGACACGGCUCAGAUCCAGAUCCCGCAUUGCUGUGGUUCUGGUGUGGGCCGGUGGCUACAGCUCCCUUUCGACCCCUAGCUUGGGAACCUCCAUAUGCUGCAAAUGUGGCCCUAGAAAAGACAGAAAGACAAAAAAAGAAAAAAGAAAAAGAAGAAAGAAAAUCCUGAAGGUGCCACCAGGAAACUGCUAGAACUCGUCUGGUAAAGCUGUUGGAUACAAAAUUAAUACACAGAAGCGGGUUGCAUUCUGUACACUGAGGAUGACAUAUCAGAAAGAGAAAUUAAAUGUUCCCUAGGGAGUUCCCCUUGUGGCUCAGCAGUAAUGAGCCCAACUGGUAUCCACGAAGACACGGGUUUGAUCCCUGUCCUCACUCAGUGGGUUAAGGAUCCGGUGUUGCCGAGAGCUGUGGCGUCGGUUGCAGACGCAGCUGGGAUGUGGUGUGGCUUCGGCUGUGGCGUAGGCCAGCAGCGGUAGCUCUGAUUCACCCUCUAGCCUGGGGACCUCCAUAUGC
Molecule: long non-coding RNA, 4141 nt
Filed under: Sus scrofa (pig)
Lineage: Eukaryota; Metazoa; Chordata; Mammalia; Artiodactyla; Suidae
Description: lncRNA (ENSSSCG00005007070.1)
Source: RNAcentral